AUCUUAACCAAAAAAAGGAGAGUUCUUAAAUACAACUAAUACCGGUCAUUUGUUUGAUGAUACAGCUAUACUAAGACAAUGCAUGUCUUUUUUUUAUUAUCAUGGAGGGUUAAGAAGAAAAUAAGUCCACCAUGUAGGGCUUAAUUGAUGAAGUAACUUUUCAUAGGUAUGUAUACAGAGGUAGUGGAAAGAUAUACAAUUCUUCUAAGACUUUUGAUGGGGCAAGAUUUGUUGGUGGUCAGUACAUUCGUGGUGUCGAAGGGCUGUAAAAUCAAAUGACCUACAAGGAGAUAAUCUUCUUUAAUGGUGAUCUCGUGGACGGUGGUCGGCAAGGAAAUUGCUAGAAGGGGUGGGAACUAAUAAACCAAGUGGGGGUUCAGCUGCAUUCGUCUGGGUGGCCAAAGAGGAAGUGAACAUAACUGGAGCAAGCAGGAGCAAGCUACAGUUGCAUGAUGCUGUUUUUUUUGCCUUAUUGAUAGCACAUGACAGAUUAUUAUAAACUGGAAGUAUGAUUGUAUUUUAAAUUAUUGAAUAUGAAUGUGACAUGUGCUGACUUAAACUGAAGGGUAUACCUCAAACGUCCAGUUAAAGAGCAGGAUUAGAAAACUUCAUCUUUACAGUGGUGCUUUUCAUGAAUAGGCAGACAUUCAACUGGGUUGCCUGGUCCACGCACAUUUAGAGGAGAACCUUCCCAUAAAGAAGGGCUGUUUUAAGGCCAAAUAGUAGACAAGAAAGAUUUAUGGUUUUACAACACCUGAGGAGAAAGGGGAGACAUGGCAGUGAAUAGCACAGAGUUCCCCUUUAAUCCUUUUAGCUUUUGAAGGAAGAAAAAGGGUGAGGGUUUGUCAAAGAAAGGUCUAAAUCCCUGUGCUUCGAGCAGUUUUCUUUUAUGCACUGGUGUUUUCAUUUCUAUUCUCAGUGCUUGUAUAAAGCGUGGGUCUUUGUGCAUCUUUCUACAAGCGCAGCUUUUUAGGCCGGGGAAUUAUUACUUAGCACUAGCAGAACCUGUGUUUUUGUCUGUGCUGUAUGUAAAUGCCUUUUAAGUUUUCCCGAACAAGGACUGGGGGUAGGGUCGGUUGUAAAGGGGAUGUGGGGUGACAAAUGCCAGGUGUUUAAUUCUCCCCAGGCUCGCAACCCCGGUGGCCAAGUGCCGGGCCGACACAGAGUGCCACUCUCAUGUGACCACUUGUUUGAUCUCAGUGUUUUCCAGUGAGUGCUGGGCCAGAAAUGGCAGAAAGGAGGAAAUGUGGGGUAGGUGAUGACAAGCAGGCUGGCGUGUUAAGAUGAUAACCUUGUUGCUAGCACACUGGAUGUGGGUACAGACUGAGUGAUUUGUCACCUGCAUAAAUUAGAGCCCUUAUGUUGUGGAUUCAUCACAGAGGCAUGCAGUUAAGACAUGUUUUUUCAAGAGUCUAAUGGUAUGUGACAGAACAGGGAUGAUUUCUUAAAAUGUCAACAUUAUACAUAUUGGUAGCAGAGCAAACUCAGAGCAGUGAAUUUAGUACUGACCCUAACCCCUAACCCUUUUUAAUUGUUAAACCAAUUUUCAUCUCAGAUCCUCUGGGCGGUAACAAAAGAAGACUUGUUUUAGUUGACGGCCCAGUUUUUUUUUUAAUGAUGAGCCUCUACAUUUUAAAGGAAAAGUAAAAGAGAUCUUUUAACAGACCACAAAAUAAGUCCACAUUAUACUGAUAUAUAAGACUAGUUUGCGACAUUUCAAGAAUGAAUGGUUGAUAAAUAUCAUUGUCAAUAUUGUUGGCAAGAUUUCAUAAGGAACAAAUUCAGAUAAGUGAGUUUGACAUCAAGUGUUCGACAAGUGCACUUUUACAUUUACAGUAAAAUUGCACUUAUAAUGGAAUAACAGUCUUUUGUAAGUACAGAUUUUAAAGGUGACAUAUUAUGCUCAGAUUCAGGUUCAUACUUUUAAUUUGGAUUACCACUUGAAAGGGUUUACAUGACCUAAUGUUCAGAAAAAAGGUAUCAGUGUUGUCAUACUGCCCAUUCCUGCAUGGCCCAGUCUGUUGUGAUUGGUCAACGGCUUUCAGGGCGUGCGUACCAAAUGUCACGCCUCUUCACCAGACGCGGAUGUUCGGAACAGGCCGGCCUACUGAGAAGCUUAAAACACAGACAUUGCUAAGCUAAGCAACAAUGGCGAAUUUUCAACCGUACCAGUUUGAUCCCGAGUCUGACACCGACAGGAAGAACAAGCGAGUAGUCCUGAAGUUUUUCAACCGAGACUGGUGGUAAGUAACAUUGUUACUGUGUACUUCCUCAAAAUGACUUGACUGACUGAAGUGCAUGUUACUGUAUUCAGGGAAACUUGUGGAAACUGCAGCAGAAUAGAGAAAAAGAAAUUUCUGCUGCAAAGAAAUACGACCGGCGCUUCCGACAUCUCGCCUACCACAGCUUUGUCAGUUGGUGCUGGGGGUAUUUGGGAUGCCACAACAGGGUUGUCAUCCCAUCAUGUGUUGUCCUCCGGAUCCGCCAGGAGUUUCCUGAUCCAGCUGACCAGCAUGUUGGCUUCCGACCGCCCUUUGACUGAAGCGUGACAUGUGGCGAGCAAACAUUUCCUCCUUUGACGGUCUGUCGUAUUGUGGUGACAGAUCCUUGGGGAUGGGAAUUUUUUUCAUCUCCUCCACAAAUGGUGCCGGGUCCUCAAACACCAUCCUCAUCAACUCACCCACAUGAUCUGUAAAAUAUUUAAUUCAAACAUAAAUUUUCCUGUGUUUUUCUGAAUCCACCUUUGUUUACUUAAAAUGUUCAGAAUUAUUUAUUAUUCAUGUGAUAUUGUUAUCAUGUUGUUUUCUAAUGAUGAAAUAGUGUUUUACAACUUACUGAAUGUGGGUACUGUUUUAACAGGCUUUGUGGUGGCUUCACCCUUCUUUGUCUUGGGGAACAAUACCCUGUAAACCGGUUGUCCUGAAGAUGUUGAAGCUUGCUUGUGGUCCGCAUUUUUAUUAUAAUGCAUGACUGCAAGGUACAACCUACACUAAAAGAAUAGAAUUCUGAUCGGUAACUUUGUUUUAAGAUGGUACAGAAACCAUUAUAAAGUGUAUUACCUGCACAACAUUCCCAUGGACAUGAAAACCACAUUAUUCAGUGCGAAGCGCAGGAUCAUGCUGUGGAAGGCACCCAGCGAUGACGUUUUAUAAUGGUGGCUCAGCUUCGCCACAUCCUUGAGGACUCUGAUGUUGUUCAUGAUCUACUCCACUCUGUGCAUUGCCACUGACCCUUGAGUAACCUUACAGAAAUAUUUAGCAAAAGAGCAGCUCAUACAUCAUUAAUUUGUCACUUUAACAAGAUAUGUGAAGUGGUAUUUGUGACUUCUUUACAGGGCUGUAGCUGAUUAGUGUGAUACAAGGGCAAAUAAAACAAUUAAAAAAUUGCAUCAAAUGACAACAAUCGCUAUCUAUUCUAAGCUGUAUCUCCCCCAUUAUAGGCUUUAUUGUCAUUGUACAACAACAUUUGUUUGGUAGCUCUUGCAGCAAUUUAAAAAACAAAGUGUAUCCGAGGCAGUUAUUCCAAAAUCGGAUGUUUGGAAAGCAAACCAACCAUCAAAACAGCUGUUUCAAACGGUCCCACCAUAACACAGAGCAGCGGCAAAAGUGUAGCAAAACUGGCAGUAGCAAAGUUAGGAUAGGCCCAAUGCUACGGUGGACUGCAGCCAUAACAUUACAGCUUAUAAAAUCAUAAGUUCACCUCCACACCUGAGGGUAAAUUAGCCACGUGCUAACUGGACUCCAAUUUUAACAUUACAGGCUAUAAAAUCAUUAAUCCACCUCCACACAUGGAGAGACGCCAAAAUGGAAGUGGCAAACGGUAUGCCGCUUGUAGUUCAGCGGCAUAUGCCACUUAAUGAUCGCGGCGCUACUGCACACGCAAGCACUGUUAAAUAUGAAGAGAUCGCUAAACAAUCAUACAUUUCUCCAUGAUAUUGCCACGUGCUAACCUCACACAGUCUGCUCUUGUACCGGAGCCCACCAUAGAAACUAACUAUGGUAGCUGUGGUAAUAACUACGGUAGCUGUGGGUGGUGCAGGCUAGCCAGAAAACAAAAAGUUACUGAAGAGUGCUGAUAAAAGAUACAUGCUUAGACUAAAGUCAAUCUUACAGCCAUUUAACCAACACUCAUAGCAUUAGCGUUAUUGUGGCUCCUCCUGCAAACGGCAAGUAACCGAAGCAUAAUAUGUCCCCUUAAAGGAGGAUAUAAAACUGACUUUGACAUUCUAGGUUUAACAUAGAGAUGACAAAAUAAAUAACAAAAAUAAGGUUUAGGUUGUAUGACUUCAACUUGAGAUCAUAUAGAUCUUCUUUUUGUGGUGUUCUUCAAAACACCGCUGCCUUGUAUUGAAACUGAGUGACCAAACCCGCUAUGUGAAGCAGUACCGCUCUCAAUUUACCUCAUUAGUCACUGUAUCUUCAUUGACAAACAUCUCUUAAACUGAUAGAACUGUACCAAAGGACGAAUAACGUUAAAUACAUUAAACAACACUUGUGUCGGAGUUCUAAUAAGCUUAUUAUUCAAGCAUGUUUGUUUAAAAAGAAUCCUGGAAAGGAACCACCUGAAACUGACUUAUUUAAAAUUGUAAGUACCCCCUGGGGUCCUUCAGGCAGAGGUGGGGGUGUAGAGAGCCUGAAAUGGCACGGCCAGUUAUAACAACAGCGAUUUAUUACGACUUAAAAAAUGGUAGAAUAAUUGCUGGGUUAACUUCAGCAAGAGUUCAGAAGUUAACAGUGUGUUUGUGUUGCAAACAACAAAGUUACAGUAUGAAUGGCUUGUCAAACUGAAAGCGCUUCUUAAUUCACAUUAGAAUAGUUUUGUUUGGAAUUAGACAAGCAAACCAAAUAGGCUUGGUCUUCUUUUUGGCUGUCCUAACCGGGCCGAGAGCAAAGGAUAAGAAGCCAAAUUGAUGCCAGUAAACUACAGCUAAGGACUAUUUAUUGUCUUUGAAGAGGGCUGCUUUGGUGGCUUUGAGAGAAGCAGGACAAAAGCCCUAAAAAGGAAUGGUGGUAAGAUUUAUGGCCCUCUGAAGGAGCUGUCCCAUAAACCAACAGACCAGCUGUGUUGUUUGUUGGCAGGAGGUGACAGCCAUUGAAGUCGCUCUGCCUUUUAUCCUCACUUCUUUCUCUCAUGUGUCUUCUGUUUGGUCACUUCUCCCCAAUUAGUUUUCUGGUUUGCAGUAGCGGACUCCUUCGUGAAUUUGGGUUUACACAACAACACCCAAGUGCAUGUUGUUCUUCUUUCAGACUGACACAGUGAUGCUGUUUUAAACCCACAUGAACAGCUGAUCCGAUUAUCCAGCCUGGAAGUGGAGGAGUUCAGUGCAAUGUCAGGACUAAGCAUACAGAUAUCGACAGAAGAAAUCUGGCAGAAGCCACGUAGAUUGACAAGUGCACAGAUGAGAUGCAUGUAUAUAUCGCGAUUAUUGAAACUAGAAGAUAGAGGUGUGGUUGAAGAUGAUGGAAAUUCACGCUCUGACUGUGAAUGAUGCUUGUUUGCAAUUCGCACCUAAGGGUUUCAGCUUUUGCCCCUAAAGUAGUGGGCACUUGCACUCCUAUAGAGCUGAUGGCCUUUAACCCUACGCCGUUCAUUUCAACUGAACAGGAAUGGUUACACACUUUGUGUCCAGUCCAAGCUCUGCGUAUGUACGUGUACAGGACGAAAGUGCUCAGGCGAUCUGACCAGAUGUUUGUGUCCUUGGUGAAACCCCACACGGGAAGGCCAAUCUGUAAGCAGAGACUUUCCUGUUCAAUAGUGGGGGUUUAGGCUUCCGUAGCUCCUUCGUGCUCCUCACUCUGCACUGAUCCGGCACUGCGCUAUUUCAUUCAUGUCUUUCAGAUUUUUACAGAUUAACGUUGGAUCUUGUAAUAUGUUUACCGUAGCUGUCGCCGUGCUAUCAAGCUGGUUUUAUGGUUUCGCGGCCAACAAUCGCGUGUGACGGCGAGCUGUGUCGCAGUAUGUGGCGAUGUAUUUACCCGUUUGUUUGUAAAAAUAUUUUAUGUGUUUAGGAGCAGAGGUGCACGGUGAAUUUAUGUUCAGAAACCAACGUGUUUAUUGUCUUCUGCAGGUACGUUUCCUCUUUUGUUGUUUAAUGAAUGUGAAUGCACUCUGUCUAGCCAGCUAAUCCCACACACUGUCGUGCCCAUGCCCAACAGGUGUCGAUCUGUUAUAGUCUUCAUGUGCAUUCAAUUUGUUGGAUAUAUUUCCUAUUGUUUAAUACCAAGAUGUGUACUGAGCUGUAUGUUGCGACAAUAAGUAUGUUUUAUGUGUAUUUUGAAAAGUACUUCUCUGACACUGAAUUUAUGUUCAGAAGCCAACUUGUUUAUUGUCUUCUGCAGCAUUCAAAUAAAUGAGGAUAAAUAGA
This is a long non-coding RNA of Scophthalmus maximus (turbot), 6364 nucleotides long. RefSeq lists it as uncharacterized. The record is from RefSeq and is a predicted model, not a curated record. The transcript has 2 exons. Lineage: Eukaryota; Metazoa; Chordata; Actinopteri; Pleuronectiformes; Scophthalmidae.